Molecule: ribosomal RNA, 497 nt
Filed under: uncultured bacterium
Lineage: Bacteria
Description: partial 16S ribosomal RNA
Rfam family: Bacterial small subunit ribosomal RNA
Source: RNAcentral
GAUGAACGCUGGCGGCGUGCCUAAUACAUGCAAGUCGAGCGAACAGAUGAGGAGCUUGCUCCUCUGACGUUAGCGGCGGACGGGUGAGUAACACGUGGAUAACCUACCUAUAAGACUGGGAUAACUUCGGGAAACCGGAGCUAAUACCGGAUAAUAUAUUGAACCGCAUGGUUCAAUAGUGAAAGACGGUUUUGCUGUCACUUAUAGAUGGAUCCGCGCCGCAUUAGCUAGUUGGUAGGGUAACGGCUUACCAAGGCAACGAUGCGUAGCCGACCUGAGAGAGUGAUAGGCCACACUGGAACUGGAACACGGUCAAGACUACUACGGGAGGCAGCAGUAGGGAAUCUUACGCAGUGGGCGAAAGCAUGACGGAGCAACGCCGCGUGAGUGAUGAAGGUCUUCGGAUCGUAAAACUCUGUUAUUAGGGAAGAACAAAUGUGUAAGUAACUAUGCACGUCUUGACGGUAACUAAUAAGAAAGCAACGGCUAACUACGUG